RNAcentral lists this ribosomal RNA (283 nucleotides) under Salmonella enterica. Its description in RNAcentral is "partial 23S ribosomal RNA". It matches the Rfam family "Bacterial large subunit ribosomal RNA", at positions 1 to 275 of the family's 2925-position model. RNAcentral also lists the same sequence under 1 other name. Lineage: Bacteria; Pseudomonadati; Pseudomonadota; Gammaproteobacteria; Enterobacterales; Enterobacteriaceae. The record is from RNAcentral.
GGGUUGUGAGGUUAAGCGACUAAGCGUACACGGUGGAUGCCCUGGCAGUCAGAGGCGAUGAAGGACGUGCUAAUCUGCGAUAAGCGUCGGUAAGGUGAUAUGAACCGUUAUAACCGGCGAUUUCCGAAUGGGGAAACCCAGUGUGAUUCGUCACACUAUCGUUAACUGAAUACAUAGGUUAACGAAGCGAACCGGGGGAACUGAAACAUCUAAGUACCCCGAGGAAAAGAAAUCAACCGAGAUUCCCCCAGUAGCGGCGAGCGAACGGGGAGGAGCCCAGAGC